GAUGAACGCUGGCGGCGUGCUUAACACAUGCAAGUCGAACGAGCGAGUUCCCUUCGGGGAAUGAGCGAGUGGCGGACGGGUGAGUAACGCGUGGGUAACCUGCCUCAUACAGGGGGAUAACAGUCAGAAAUGACUGCUAAUACCGCAUAAGCGCACAGUACCGCAUGGUACAGUGUGAAAAGCUCCGGCGGUAUGAGAUGGACCCGCGUUAGAUUAGCCAGUUGGCGGGGUAACGGCCCACCAAAGCGACGAUCUAUAGCCGGCCUGAGAGGGCGACCGGCCACAUUGGGACUGAGACACGGCCCAGACUCC
Molecule: ribosomal RNA, 312 nt
Filed under: uncultured Ruminococcus sp.
Lineage: Bacteria; Bacillati; Bacillota; Clostridia; Eubacteriales; Oscillospiraceae
Description: bacterial SSU rRNA
Rfam family: Bacterial small subunit ribosomal RNA
Source: RNAcentral